CCGGCACGGGUGAGUAACACGUAUGGAACCUGCCCUAUGCAGGGGGAUAAGCGGAAGAAAUUCCGUCUAAUACCGCAUAACACCUUUAGGAGACAUCUUCUUGGGGUCAAAGGAGGCGACUCCGGCAUAGGAUGGCCAUGCGUCGCAUUAGCUAGUCGGCGGGGUAACGGCCCACCGAGGCGACGAUGCGUAGGGGUUCUGAGAGGAAGGUCCCCCACACUGGUACUGAGACACGGACCAGACUCCUACGGAAGGCAGCAG
Molecule: ribosomal RNA, 261 nt
Filed under: uncultured bacterium
Lineage: Bacteria
Description: partial 16S ribosomal RNA
Rfam family: Bacterial small subunit ribosomal RNA
Source: RNAcentral